Molecule: unclassified non-coding RNA, 262 nt
Filed under: Hevea brasiliensis (rubber tree)
Lineage: Eukaryota; Viridiplantae; Streptophyta; Magnoliopsida; Malpighiales; Euphorbiaceae
Source: RNAcentral
AGAAGGUCGAGUUCCUUUUGUAACGUCUCCAUUGUUUGGAGCUUCUGUCGUAACUCCGCAACGUCAACCUCAAGUUUGAAACAUCUUGACUGCUCAGCUGCAAGUUGUGAGCGUACAGAUUGCAGCUCCUUGUAUAGCUCAGUGUUACGGUUCUCAGCAUCAGCUAGCUCUUGUUUUAGUUGUAAAGAGUGUAUCUUCUCCUUGUUGAGAGAUGAUUCCAGUUCUUCCCUCUCUGCCUUCAAUGUCGAUACGAGUUCUUUCG